UCGGGACCCGAAAGAUGG
This 18-nucleotide small RNA is filed under the name Arabidopsis thaliana (thale cress). RNAcentral's name for it is "Ath_wt_10990". Lineage: Eukaryota; Viridiplantae; Streptophyta; Magnoliopsida; Brassicales; Brassicaceae. The record is from RNAcentral.